CCCGACUGCUAUUUGGGUGAGGAUAAGCCAUGCGAGUUGAAUGGGAUACCUAAAAAUCCCAUGGCAAACUGCUCAGUAACACAUGAUCAACUUACCCUAUAGAGAAAAAUAACCUCGGGAAACUGAGGAUAAUGUUUCAUAGUUGAAUAGGCUUGGAAAAGUUUUUCAAUAAAAGGGAUAAGGAAAAUGGUCCUUAUCCGCUAUAGGAUAGGAUCGUGUUCGAUUAUGGUUGUUGGUGAGGUAACGGCUCACCAAGCCGAUAAUCGAUAGGGGCCGUGAGAGCGGGAGCCCCAAGAUGGGUACUGAGACAACGACCCAGGCCUUACGAGGCGCAGCAGGCGCGGAACCUCCGCAAUACACGAAAGUGUGACGGGGUUACCCAAAGUGCUCUUUUUAGAGCUGUGGUAGGUGAGUAAUGUUCCCUACUAGAAAGGAGAGGGCAAGGCUGGUGCCAGCCGCCGCGGUAAAACCAGCUCUUCAAGUGGUCGGGAUAAUUAUUGGGCUUAAAGUGUCCGUAGCCGGUUUAGAAAGUUCCUGGUAAAAUCGGGUAGCUUAACUAUCCGUAUGCUAGGAAUACUGCUAUACUAGAGGGCGGGAGAGGUCUGAGGUACUACAGGGGUAGGGGUGAAAUCUUAUAAUCCUUGUAGGACCACCAGUGGCGAAGGCGUCAGACUGGAACGCGCCUGACGGUGAGGGACGAAAGCCAGGGGAGCGAACCGGAUUAGAUACCCGGGUAGUCCUGGCCGUAAACGAUGCAUACUAGGUGAUGGUACGGCCAUGAGCCGUGUCAGUGCCGUAGGGAAACCGUUAAGUGUGCCGCCUGGGAAGUACGGUCGCAAGGCUAAAACUUAAAGGAAUUGGCGGGGGAGCACCACAAGGGGUGAAGCCUGCGGUUC
This 896-nucleotide ribosomal RNA is filed under the name uncultured archaeon. RNAcentral's name for it is "bacterial SSU rRNA". It matches the Rfam family "Archaeal small subunit ribosomal RNA", at positions 21 to 903 of the family's 1478-position model. The record is from RNAcentral.